This 301-nucleotide ribosomal RNA is filed under the name uncultured bacterium. RNAcentral describes it as "partial 16S ribosomal RNA". It matches the Rfam family "Bacterial small subunit ribosomal RNA", at positions 509 to 807 of the family's 1533-position model. The record is from RNAcentral.
CAGUCGCCGCGGUAAUACGUAGGGUGCGAGCGUUAAUCGGAAUUACUGGGCGUAAAGCGUGCGCAGGCGGUUUUGUAAGACAGGCGUGAAAUCCCCGGGCUCAACCUGGGAAUGGCGCUUGUGACUGCAAAGCUAGAGUGCGGCAGAGGGGGAUGGAAUUCCGCGUGUAGCAGUGAAACGCGUAGAUAUGCGGAGGAACACCGAUGGCGAAGGCAAUCCCCUGGGCCUGCACUGACGCUCAUGCACGAAAGCGUGGGGAGCAAACAGGAUUAGAUACCCCUGUAGUCCCUGUCUCUUAUAC